GUUGAAGACAUUCCAGCAAGUCUCUGAGCAGAUCUUGAUUGGAUGACGUUUUCUACACAGCUUCCUGGACUUUCGAAGAAAAAUGUCAAAUUUGGGACCAUUUCCCCAAAGCGGUUGGCAUUCUUAGGAGGGAGGUCUGAUCACAGGGAAGUCAACCGUUCUCACGAACUCUCUCUGAAAUAACAAUGCCAAGGGCCCAGAAUCCUUUGUAGGAAACCACCAAACGGCUGGCACCAGGCUGAGCAGCUCACACACCUAGGCCUCUCUCCCGAGGACUUCGUAGGCUCCGCCAGCCUCCCGGUCUCAGCCUCCUGCAGUCCAGUGUGUGUGUGGCGCAGUGACACUCGGUUACAGCUGCGAGCUGAGAGGAUGGGAAUCCUCGGCCUUCACUGGACAGCCAGCCUAGCCUACACAGACCAAUAAGAGACCCUGUCUCACAAAACAAGGCGGAACAGAACCGGAGGAGUGACAGGUUUUACAGAUGAGAUGGUUGCUGCCAAGUAUGAAGAUGGAGUCUGAUUCCUGGGGUGCAUGGCUAGUGGACAGAACUGACUCCCACAAGUUGUCCUCUGAUUUCCACAUCAAAUUUCUUGUUUUGUCUUCUAAUCUACCAACCCUUUGAAUGGCCAGAUGUUGAUAUUUUAUACACGGUCUGGACAAUCCAACUGAGGGUCUUGGUCUCACACGGCUAAUACUUGACCAGCUGAGAUAUCUCAGCACCUUUGAAGUCCAGAAACUCAGUGCAUGCAAAGCCCCCGCAAGUCUCUGUGCUGGAUCUUACAAGGAAUGAAGGCGUCACUCUAAACCUUCGGAGCCAGGGUGUGGUCAAUCAUGGGAUUGUUCCCAGGAAAUCCCUUUUGUUCCAGACCAGUCUGUCCACUCGGCGAGUGAGAAGACUGAAGAAGAUGGAUUUUAUUUUUCUACUCUUUUUGGGGAUGGGCGCACUGCCUUCAGCCUCUGGAAGAUACACCAUACUGGGGAUUGAUGGGAGAUGCGGAGGCUGAGUUUCGCCAGGCUAUCUAUCGUGAACUCCAGGGCUCCUGGGUCUGCUUCCCAAGCACCACGUCCAGCUUCUUACAUAGGUUCCUGGGAUCUGAACUCAGAACCUCAGGCUUGCACAGUAAGCACUUGGCUACUGAGCUGUCUCCCCAGCUCAUCUCUGCUUUUCUAACUUAUAUUUACAGUCAUUUGGUACUCCA
Long non-coding RNA from Mus musculus (house mouse), 1199 nucleotides. RefSeq annotates it as predicted gene, 32613. Lineage: Eukaryota; Metazoa; Chordata; Mammalia; Rodentia; Muridae. The record is from RefSeq and is a predicted model, not a curated record. The transcript has 5 exons.